AUAAUAAUAAUAAUAUUAUUAUUAUUAUUAUUAUUAUUAUUAAUAGCGCAACUAAUGAUGAUAAUAAUAAAAAGAAACUUCAAAUAUCUUAAUGUGGUUUCGCAUUUUUUUAUUUUAGUUACUUAUGGUUUCAAGUAUAUCAAGUUAGUACCCUGUAGUUUCUUGCUUUUUUACUUUAGUACUCUGUAAUUUAAUAUUUUUUAAAAAUUAUAUAUUUCGAAUUCCGAAAUGAAUAAUAAAAAGAGAAAAUUGAAACCACAGGUACUAACUUGAUACAAAAUGAAACAACAUAGUACUAACUUGAUACACUUGAAACUAUAGGGUACUAAAGUGAGAAAAUGCGAAACCACAGGAUACACUUUAAACUACAGAAUAUUAAAGUGAAAAAGUGCGAAACCAAAGAAGGUAUUUAAAAUUUCCCCUAAUAAUAAUAAUAAUAAUAAUAACAAUGGAAUUAUUAGA
This 462-nucleotide long non-coding RNA is filed under the name Ananas comosus (pineapple). Its description in RNAcentral is "long non-coding RNA (ACOM_LNC004645)". The record is from RNAcentral. Lineage: Eukaryota; Viridiplantae; Streptophyta; Magnoliopsida; Poales; Bromeliaceae.